CGGUCUAAAGAAAAAAUAAACAUACUAAAGUUGCACAAACACAACCCAACAAAAAUAGAAAUUGACACGAUCCUUAUUUAUAAGUACGUAGAUUGACAGCUACAUAGAAUGCGCAAAGGCACAACUGUUUUUUCACAAACAAUAACACACGUGAAAACAAGGAUUACUGUCUGGCACACAACAACACAAAGAAAACUGACUAAACGUGAGAACAGUCCUGUGUUUAUUUUCAGCAUGAGCAAUCUACCAACACAUACUUUGAACAAUUUCUUAUUUUCCCAUAAUGGGAAAUAUGUUAAAGAGUGUGGAUAGCUUUCCUCUUCUGAGCACAGUAUCAACUAUAGCAUGGUUUAAAAGGCCAGAAAGUUAGUCAGAAUCUUCAGGAGGUGAAGGUUUUGGGAUGUAUGGAAUCAGAGGGCUUCCAUGCUCAAUAGGAUCAGGAUAUAAAGAGGCCUUUGUUCUAGAACCUGGUGGUGGAUCAACGCCAUUGUAAUCAGUCAGAAUCACUUUACUCAUAUCACCAUUUUCCUGAAAUUUCAAAUGAAAUAAACUGUCAUCUCAUUGCAAGAGUUUAGUUAUGCAUCUUGUAAGUGUAUAAAAUUUUACAUAAUCAAGUAAAAUUCAUCUUAGUUUUACUUGCAAGGUAGUAAUAUUAUAUUGAAAUUUACCAUGUAACACCCCAUUUUAAUUAGGUUUUUAUUUCUUUAACCAGAAAGGUCAGGAAGGAUUAUAAAGCAGUCAUACCUUCAGUUUCCUGCUUACUGCAAUCUGUGUUGCUUUGUCACCAUGGUUAGUCCCUAUGAAAUCUGAGAGGAACUAAAUCAUCAAUGCCUUUCACUAGCUAAUAUAUGAGCACUAACAUAUUAAUACAAUCAAUUUAUCUUUCAGAGUAAAUCUAUAAGUACUUUCAGGUUUUUAAGGGAGUAUCUUUACAGACAUUUUUAAUUAAGAAUAUGUCAAAUCAUGAAUUACUCAUACAAUUCAAGGACUCAUCCUUGGAGCAAGUACGUACCAUGUUGUCGGAAGUUUCAACUUAGUGGAUCAUGGUGGUAGUGAGAAAACAAUCAACAGAAUAAUAACAAAAACAGUUUGUCUACUACGCAAAAUCGUACACAAGAAAAGAAAAAUCAGAUUUUUUCCAAGAGUUUGUGGAUCGGAAUCACUAAUGCAUGCAUACCCUUGUCUCUUCAAAGAUAACCAAAGUAAAAAAGGAAAAAGAAAAAAUUAUGAAAAGGAAAUAAACAUAUGUAGUUCAAACACAAAAUUCAAAACACUCCAUGUGUCUUUUAAUAAUUUUCUCAAAUAGUAAAAGAAAGAAGAUGUGUGUACCAGGUGACCCAGAUGCAGUAGCAGGAAUUAAGAAGUUAAAGAACAUCAAAGUUGCUCCAACCACCAAGAGCAAAGCAAAGAAGCCAGAAACCUUCAUGUUUACCAACACAAUAAACCUGAAGUAGACAAUGACCUAGAAGUGUAGUACUGAUAUAAAUAAUAUAGCCCUUAUUAGAAGUCGACCCUCAAUAACGUAGAGGAGGUUCUAAAACAAAACCAAUAUUUUAUUAUCAAACAGUUUUGUGAAGUUGCUUUUCUGUGAUGAUAACGUGCUUGGGGGCUCAAAUUCCACAACAAGCAUUAGUGACUGCAUUAAAGACUCAUCACUGGUCACUCAUUAGCCUCUUCAUUCCCCAAUGCUCUAUUUACAGCUACAGCAAUGGCAAUAAAAUCUCAGCAGGCACCGCAGAGUGAAUGAUGGCAAUGAAACUUGCCACAUUAUCACCGUGGUAUCUCAAUCAAUUCUCUACACACUUUCCAAUCUCUGCAGUUAUUUCUUUUUUAAGAAAAAAAAGGUUUUUUCUUACACAAUCAUAGGAUCACCGUACCUUCUUCAUCACAACCAUCUUCAUCUUUGCAUCUUUAACAAAGAAAUCAUCUGCAAAGGGAGAAGAAUCACACACCCAUAUUCAUUCAUCACCUCCAAUAUUGGCACAGUUCGCCCCACUCCAAGAUAUUGUUUUUCCUAUCAUAAUAUUUGUUGUUCAAAUGUAUGUGAAUUAAAUUUAUUUAUUUAUUAAUUUUUUACAUAAAAAUGCUUAGCUCGUAAUUUAAGUAUAUUACUAAAUAACAUAAAAUAUUUAUCCUUUUCUUUUCAUUUGAAAAUUUCGUUUUGUUUUGUUAAAACAAUUUUUACUAUCUCUUAAUAGUUUGAUUAAUUUGAUAUACGAAAAAGUUUAUUUAGAUCUUUAACAUAUUUUUCAUCUUAUAAUAUCUUUCAACUAUAAGAAAAUCACGUAUUUACAAUGGAAUAAUCUCUAGCCAAUCUCUCGUUCAUCUCUAGGUCCCAUGUCGCCUCGUUCAAAAAGUUUUUCACCGUCGACGAAACGCCAAGUGGUUCAUCUCUAGGUAAAUUUGAUUAUUGAAGCAUCACUGAAUAUAACUUUAUUGAAGUUGAAAGCAUUACUGAAGCAUCACUGAAUAUAUCUAGGCUUGCUAGAUAUAUACACCAUAUUCGUCAGUUCUAAAGUAUAUAUCGAUUCCAUUUGGAACAAUCUACCUCAAUUUCAAUGAGAUACAAUGCAACUUUAUAACAGAGUAAAUUCACAUCACAUAAGAAGGAUAUAUAAAUAUAUAUAGAUAGAUAGAUAGAUAUAGAUAUAAGAGAAAAAAUAAACAUACUCCAGUUGCACUAACACAAACUAAUAUAAAUAGAAAUUUGCAUGAUCCUUAGUUAUAAGUACGUACAUUGGCCACUGCAUAGGAUGAUGCUCAAAGGCAAAUGUUUUUUCACAACACUAGCACACAGAAUAUAAGCAAAAGAACGCACAAAAAACUGACUAAACAACGUGUGAGAAUGAGUCCUAUAUUCUUUCAGCAUGAGAAAUGCUACUCACACAUACUUUGAACAAUUUCUUAUUUUCCCAUGAAAAGAAAUAUGUUCAAAGAAUGUGAACAGCGUUCCUCUUUUGAGCAUAGCAUCUAUUAGCAUACUUGAAGAGAUCAGAAAGUUAGUCAGAAUCUCCAGGUAUAGGAUGAUCAGGAGGUGAAGGUUUUGGGAUGUAUGGAAUCAGAGGGCUUCCAUGCUGAAUAGGUCCAGGAUAUAAAGAGGCCUUUGUUCUAGAAUUUGGUGGUGGAUCAGCUGAAUUGUAAUCAGUCAGAGUUACUUGACUCAUGUCACCAUUGUUGUUGAUACCAUUUUCCUGAAAUUUCAAAGGGAAUGCUUAGAAU
RNAcentral lists this long non-coding RNA (3219 nucleotides) under Vigna radiata. Its description in RNAcentral is "long non-coding RNA (VRAD_LNC005719)". The record is from RNAcentral. Lineage: Eukaryota; Viridiplantae; Streptophyta; Magnoliopsida; Fabales; Fabaceae.